GUUAAUGUAGCUUAAUCCAUUAAAAGCAAGGCACUGAAAAUGCCUAGAUGAGUCCCACAACUCCAUAAACAC
This 72-nucleotide transfer RNA is filed under the name Macroderma gigas (Australian ghost bat). Its description in RNAcentral is "tRNA-Phe". It matches the Rfam family "tRNA". Rfam says of the family: Transfer RNA (tRNA) molecules are approximately 80 nucleotides in length. Their secondary structure includes four short double-helical elements and three loops (D, anti-codon, and T loops). Lineage: Eukaryota; Metazoa; Chordata; Mammalia; Chiroptera; Megadermatidae. The record is from RNAcentral.